This is a non-coding RNA of Pseudonaja textilis, 1219 nucleotides long. Lineage: Eukaryota; Metazoa; Chordata; Lepidosauria; Squamata; Elapidae. The record is from RefSeq and is a predicted model, not a curated record.
AACCGGGCAUUUGCGAGCAGGCAGACGGAGGAAGCAGAGCAAUGGAGAGAGAGCGCGAAGAAGGAAUGGGCAACGACGGCGAACGCGACGGCAGGAGGGGCACUGGUUAGCUGCCGCUCCGUUGCCGUAGCAGCCGCCGCUGUUGCAACCGCGGAUCGGAAGAGGAGGCUGAGGCACCGCCGCGAGAAGUCCGAAUCGCGGCAGCUCCGCUACAUAUCAUCCGCCGGGCUGUUCCUAUUUCUCUUUCUGCAGGGAAAGGCGAGCGCUGCUGCAGCAAGAACACUUGGGGGAGGCACUGCACGGACCUGUUGCAUUGGGCGUCCCAGUUGCUCCAGGUGACAAGGAGGCGAAGUGGUGGACAAGAAAUGGAUGCCUUGCCUUGCGGCUGAUGAAGCUUCUGUAGUAGAAAAAGUUUUGGCUUCUAGAAAGAAAGUUCUGUGACACUUUGACUCUGAUUAUAAUAGAAGUCAGUGCACUACAGAACUUUCUCUUCAGGGGCUGCAGCGACCAAGGAGUUAACAAAGAACUCCUGAAACUCAGGUGGACACGUCACUGCCAGCUGCUUUCAACAAAAUGGGAUGGAAAAGCUGAAAGCAACUCUUAUGGGAAAGUGGCACUUCUUUAGUAGUUAUGAAAAAGCACUAAGUAUAUUCCUGUGUUUGAACAAAAGCUUAGUUCUUUUGAAACUUGGCCUUUUAGGUUCUGAUAUUUUAAAUAGCACAGCAUCUGGUUGUUAUUUACAUGUCCUCUUUGAUAGAAAUCUAAAAGAGGACACUUGACAAAAUGCUGUAAAUUGUUAAAUUCAUCUUAGUGAUUGUGUAUAUUGGUGAUGCUAAAAGACUGAAGUUUAAUUAUUGCCUUUGAAUGUAAACCUUUAUUAAAUUUGAAAUUCUUAUAGCAUUGAUUAGUUAUGCAAUGGCUUGAAAAGAUUUUCAGCCAUAAACCUAUUUAGAAAUCUGUGGUAUACUAUAUAUUUCUGAAUUAAAUGAUUGUUCUGCAUUGGAUGUGCUUGCUUCUUAAUUACUUACCAAUAACAGGUAAACUUUAACCUUUUAGUUGUGAACACUAUGAAGACUUUUAAAAGUUCAUAUUUAAUGUGUUUGGGAAAAAUUGUAUUUAACACCUAAGUUAUUAGACCAGCUCUUCCUGAACUAUCUACUUUUAAUAAAGUGCACAUUAAUAAAAAUGAUUGAAUUUUUAAAUAAAACAAAUAUUUAUU